GGUGACGCUAGAGCUUGCUCUGGUUGAUCAGUGGCGAACGGGUGAGUAACACGUGAGUAACCUGCCCUUGACUCUGGGAUAACUCCGGGAAACCGGGGCUAAUACCGGAUACGAGACGCGAUCGCAUGGUCGGCGUCUGGAAAGUUUUUCGGUCAAGGAUGGACUCGCGGCCUAUCAGCUAGUUGGUGAGGUAACGGCUCACCAAGGCGUCGACGGGUAGCCGGCCUGAGAGGGCGACCGGCCACACUGGGACUGAGACACGGCCCAGACUCCUACGGGAGGCAGCAGUGGGGAAUAUUGCACAAUGGGCGAAAGCCUGAUGCAGCGACGCCGCGUGAGGGAUGAAGGCCUUCGGGUUGUAAACCUCUUUCAGUAGGGAAGAAGCGAAAGUGACGGUACCUGCAGAAGAAGCGCCGGCUAACUACGUGCCAGCAGCCGCGGUAAUACGUAGGGCGCAAGCGUUGUCCGGAAUUAUUGGGCGUAAAGAGCUCGUAAGCGGUUUGUCGCGUCUGGUGUGAAAACUCAA
This 526-nucleotide ribosomal RNA is filed under the name Sanguibacter keddieii. RNAcentral's name for it is "bacterial SSU rRNA". It matches the Rfam family "Bacterial small subunit ribosomal RNA", at positions 68 to 605 of the family's 1533-position model. Lineage: Bacteria; Bacillati; Actinomycetota; Actinomycetes; Micrococcales; Sanguibacteraceae. The record is from RNAcentral.